UUAUGGAACAUGGGUGAAACACUGAUGCAGCAAUCAUCCGUGUAUGAGGAAGGCCUUUGUGUUUAAAGUUACGUGCGGCAGAGUAGAAAAGGCAUCCCCUAAUACGAUAUACAGAUGACGGUAUCUGGAUAAUAAGCACCGGCUAACUACGGUCAAGCAGCCGCGGUAAUACGUAGGGUGCAAGCGUUAAUCGGAAUUACUGGGCGUAAAGAGUGUGUAGGCGGUUCGGUAAGAAAGAUGUGAAAUCCCAGGGCUCAACCUUGGAACUGCAUUUUUAACUGCCGAGCUAGAGUAUGUAAGAGGGGGGUAGAAUUCCACGUGUAACAGUAAAAUGCGUAGAUAUGUGGAGGAAUCCCGAUGGCGAAGGCAGCCCCCAGGGAUAAUACUGACGCUCAGACACGAAAGCGUGGGGAGCAAACA
Molecule: ribosomal RNA, 420 nt
Filed under: uncultured bacterium
Lineage: Bacteria
Description: partial 16S ribosomal RNA
Rfam family: Bacterial small subunit ribosomal RNA
Source: RNAcentral